UGCCAGACUCCUACGGGAGGCAGCAGUGGGGGAUAUUGCACAAUGGGGGGAACCCUGAUGCAGCGACGCCGCGUGGGUGAAGGAGCGUUUCGGCGCGUAAAGCCCUAUCGGCAGGGAAGAAGGAGGACGGUACCUGACUAAGAAGCCCCGGCUAACUACGUGCCAGCAGCCGCGGUAAUACGGAGGAUGCGAGCGUUAUCCGGAUUUAUUGGGUUUAAAGGGUGCGUAGGCGGGCUUUUAAGUCAGCGGUAAAAAUUCGGGGCUCAACCCCGUCCGGCCGUUGAAACUGGGGGCCUUGAGUGGGCGAGAAGAAGGCGGAAUGCGUGGUGUAGCGGUGAAAUGCAUAGAUAUCACGCAGAACCCCGAUUGCGAAGGCAGCCUUCCGGCGCCCUACUGACGCUGAGGCACGAAAGUGCGGGGAUCGAACAGGAUUAGAUACCCGCGUAGC
RNAcentral lists this ribosomal RNA (448 nucleotides) under uncultured bacterium. RNAcentral describes it as "partial 16S ribosomal RNA". It matches the Rfam family "Bacterial small subunit ribosomal RNA", at positions 329 to 794 of the family's 1533-position model. The record is from RNAcentral.